AACAUCUUUUAGCGCGUGACGUCACGUUUGGGCAUUAAACAAUUUAUAAUAUCGGUUUAGGUUGAAUGUAUUUAACAUUUUUAAAGUUUUAUUAUUUGUUAUGUAUAUUAUUUUGUUUAAAUUUUGAUUUUUAAAUAGAAUAUAGAUAUAUAAAGAUCAUGAUUUUAUCUUGUCUUGCAUAUAAUUGCACUCAAAGAUAUAUUAAAAGGGUUUCUUUUCAUGUUUUUCUGAAAGAUAUGGAAUUGAGGAGAAAAUGGAUACAAGUUAUGUGGAGCGAGGUUUUACUCCUAGUAAACUGUCUAAACGUUGUGGUAAAUAUUUCACUGGUAUGAAAAAAGUUUUUCGAGUUCACAAAAGAAACAAAAAAAAGAUGCAAUUUCUUCUGUAUUUAAUUUCCCAACACUUUUAUUAACAAGUAUUUAUUCUAGAAAACUACCAAAAAAUAUAGACAAAGAAUUAUUUCAAAUAUUACCACCAGCGAAUCAAAUACAGGAGUUAUGUCUGAGUCUACAAAACAGUUAUUUUGUCGGAUUUUACAAGAAAAGUUAAAAAGCAUUACCCACCAGAAUUAUGAAGCUUUGCUACAACACAGAGUUUUUAGUCCUUGGCCUUGACCUUGGUCUUAAAACUGUUGGUCUUGGUCUUGGCCUUGGUCUUCAAAAAAAGUACAUAAAGUUGAGGAAUUAAAAGAUUUCAUUCUUUAUUUUUAUGUAUUUUUGUUUUCGGUUUCAUACAUAUCUACAAGUAUGUUUUUUAUUGACUUCAUAGAAUUUUGGGCAUAACCCUGGUUUAUUUUUACAACAUGUGGUUUAUUGUCACAGGAAUUGUUACCUACAGUUUUAUUAAUAAUUGACCUUAACGUUAGACAAAAAUUCAAGUCUUUGGGCUUGAAAAUGUUUUUAUUCUUGGC
Long non-coding RNA from Hydra vulgaris (swiftwater hydra), 910 nucleotides. RefSeq lists it as uncharacterized. NCBI's taxonomy places the organism in Eukaryota, Metazoa, Cnidaria, Hydrozoa, Anthoathecata, Hydridae. The record is from RefSeq and is a predicted model, not a curated record.